CUUAGUUCCAGCAGGAGCGCGGCUUUAAUUAUUUCUCUGCACCCAGCAAGAGGUGGCCUCCAGAACUGGCUGUGACAGCCAGGCACACCCUCCAGGAAGGGGAGGGUUGUCUCCGGCAGCCGCCGACUCUCUGCCUGUGAAAACGCUGGCUCCAAUUCACAGGGUCCUGCCAGCCCCCACCCUCCAGCCCAGCUCAUGCAGAAGGCAGAGGGAAGAUCCAUACGGGAUGUGUCUAAGAGCAAGGUGCACUAGCACCCACAAAAGGUCCAGAGCCUCUUUGGAGGCUGAGGAUACAGAUCUGAGACAUCAGGAGGAGCUCAGCAUCUCUGCUGGAACUGAUGUGGGCUUCUCAGGCCUCCUCUGCCAGCUCUGGUUUUACAUGGAGUGAAACAGUGCCCGGCAUGAAUAUCGUCUCACGUCCACUCGUGAGGGAACCAACCUCUGAUAACAGAUAUCCCCACAGCACUGAGAAAAAGCCCGCUCUCCUAAUCAUGGAUGAUAUAUACAGCCAGCUAAUGCAAAAUGAAUGUUCAUGUUAUUUUUGCUUAUUUUUAAGUCCGUUGGGUGCAUCGUGGCUGAUCGCUGUUCUGACAUUUUUCUUCCCUCAUUAAGAAAGAUGCCCCCAGUGAGUUACCUGUGCCGGGCUCAGAGCAGAAAAUAAAUAUCGCUGGCAUCCACUUUCUUGUGCUCUCUGGGUGUAAUUAAGGAAAAGGCACCUGGAGAAGAGCAAAAGGAUAGAGUAGAAAAUGGGCUGGUGGGUACUGUUCACAGGAACUUCCAGUCUCUAAAGCCAUCCUAUGUCACCCCUUCUAAGACACCCUCCUACAUCUGUUGUCGGGGAAGCCCCCAUCUUUGAACGGUAAUACUCUUCUCUUUUCCACUGGGGCUUUGUUUUUCUCCCUAAAUC
Molecule: long non-coding RNA, 907 nt
Organism: Fukomys damarensis (Damara mole-rat)
Lineage: Eukaryota; Metazoa; Chordata; Mammalia; Rodentia; Bathyergidae
Exons: 3
Source: RefSeq, a predicted model, not a curated record